AUGACUGCAGAUUUCCAGAAACUAGCAAAAUUUGCUUGUGGUUCGGAUGCAGCAAAAGGCAUUGUUGAUAAGCACAUGCGUGCGACGCGGACAAAAAUUGUGCAGCUGAACAAUUCUAGAAGGAAAAAAAGGGCUGCAAGAGAGGCAGGUCCGUCCGCUGGUGAGAACAACCAGGAUCCUCCCGUGCCGCCUACAUCUACAGGGCCUACUCCAGCAACUACCCCUACUGGACGUGCUCCACCGCCUACUCCCAUGGGCCGUGGUGGACCACCUCCUCCCAUGGGCAGUGGUGGUCGUGGUCCAACAUGUCCUCCCAUGGGUCGUGCUACUCAUGCUCCAGCACCUCCUCCCAUGGGUCGUGCUGAACCGCCUCCUCCGAUGGAUCAUGGUGGGCCACCUGUGAGUAAUGCUUCAGCACCUCUUCCUAUGGGUAACACAACACAAGGCUAUCCUAACUGCACUGAGCAGAUGUCGCCUACGAGCAACGACAAUGAGGAUGCAACUCCUAGGGAUAUGCCAAAUUCAACUACAAAAGGGAGGGAAAGGAGUAGACGCUAUCAUUCAGCUCUUGAACUGCACCCGAAAAGGAAAAAUAGGUGCAGCUACUACAACUCAGAUAAGCACAAUGCCGCUAGCUGCUCUACGAAGUUGGCGUGA
This 657-nucleotide ribosomal RNA is filed under the name Triticum aestivum (bread wheat). Its description in RNAcentral is "partial small subunit ribosomal RNA". Lineage: Eukaryota; Viridiplantae; Streptophyta; Magnoliopsida; Poales; Poaceae. The record is from RNAcentral.